UACGUAGGUGGCAAGCGUUGUCCGGAUUUACUGGGCGUAAAGGGAGCGUAGGCGGACUUUUAAGUGAGAUGUGAAAUACUCGGGCUCAACUUGAGUGCUGCAUUUCAAACUGGAAGUCUAGAGUGCAGGAGAGGAGAAUGGAAUUCCUAGUGUAGCGGUGAAAUGCGUAGAGAUUAGGAAGAACCCCAGUGGCGAAGGCGAUUCUCUGGACUGUAACUGACGCUGAGGCUCGAAAGCGUGGGGAGCAAACAGG
RNAcentral lists this ribosomal RNA (253 nucleotides) under uncultured bacterium. Its description in RNAcentral is "partial 16S ribosomal RNA". It matches the Rfam family "Bacterial small subunit ribosomal RNA", at positions 524 to 776 of the family's 1533-position model. The record is from RNAcentral.